AUGAAGGCCUCUGUUCAGCUCCUGGGGCUCCUGCUGCUCUGGCUCCCAGCAGAGAGCAUAGAAAGCUCCAAAUCUCCUGAUCUAUUUUGCACCUACUUGGCAAUCUGGGGUCCCAGGGGAAAUGGAAGUGGAUCUGGCACAGAGUUCACUCUCAGCAUCAGCAGCCUGCAGCCUGAAGAUUUUGCCACUUACUACUGUCAGCAGGGAUCAAGUGGAGAUGUUGUGAUGACCCUGACUCCACUCUCCCUGCCUGUCACCCUAGGAGAGCCGGCCUCCAUCUCUUGCAGGUCUACUCAGAACUUUCUAUACAGCAAUGGAAACACAUAUUUGAAAUGGUUCCUGCAGAAGCCAGGCCAGUCUCCACAACUCCUGAUCUAUGAGGUUUCCAACUGAGAAUCUGGGAUCUCAGAAAGAUUCAGUGGCAGUGGGUCAGGCACAGAUUGCACAUUGAAAUGUAGCAGUGUGGAAACUGAGG
Non-coding RNA from Dipodomys spectabilis (banner-tailed kangaroo rat), 475 nucleotides. Lineage: Eukaryota; Metazoa; Chordata; Mammalia; Rodentia; Heteromyidae. The record is from the annotation of a RefSeq genome assembly.